AUGGAUGAAGCAGCAAUGAUUCGAAAAAGAUUUGGAGAUGAACAAAGCACGCUGUUAGACCAAUUUGAGAGGCUAUCUUUUGAGACACAUCUCAACAAAGCAAUGUUACAAAGAAGUUUAUCAGAACCAAGAUUUGUGAAGCAAGGACGAAGGUGUCGCGGUUCCGGGUUUCGAAAGGUGGUUAAGAAAUUGUUGAAACCUUUUCUUUGGAGGAAAAAUGGAGCAAGAAAAGAAGAUGUGGAGUUUCAGAAUCCAUUGUCUUGGAAGGCGUUUACCGUCUAUAAGGAGGUGUCGAAGACGAAAGUUUGGUCGAGGUGA
Molecule: non-coding RNA, 318 nt
Organism: Vicia faba (fava bean)
Lineage: Eukaryota; Viridiplantae; Streptophyta; Magnoliopsida; Fabales; Fabaceae
Source: the annotation of a GenBank genome assembly